AGUCAGUCUGCCAAUGGUGACUAAGUUUUGUGAGAGUCGGGGAUACCUGAUUUGUUUAAUAAAACUUUUCAGAUUAUUUGGAACCAUCAAGCUGUGGAAUAGCUAGCCUGCGUAUCUAGCUGAAGGAUUCUAAUGGAGCCUACUGGAAUAUCUGCUGGGCUGCAACGUUGGUGAGAGAGAUCCUGUUUUACAAGCUCAGGUAUCACAGCUCUGACAAAUGAGUAAUCUUGAAAGAACUUGUCUUUGUCCCCCUCCCUUUUAUCCUUGAGGGAAAGAGCUUCAGUAACACCCUUGAGGCCACUGAGUUUAAAGACAGGAGGCAUCUGGUGCUGGUGAAAACACAUCUGAACACUUCCCUUUGGUCUGCCAUUAAAUAUCCUAGUACAACUGUUCUGAACAUCCCAUCCCACGCUGGAAUAGGAAGAGAAGUCCAGCCAGCCAUUUCCCCCGUGGCCAGCCGUAAGGAUCUUCCAGAAGGUAUGUGCUUUGGAUCUCAUCCCCCAGACUAGAGAGAGGAUGUAAAGCCUUUCCUUCUGGGUGGAUCAGAGGAUUGGGACCUGGUGCCCAAAGGCCUUUCUACAUGAAGUCAGUAGGUGAGAGAGCAAAUAAGACAAAGUUGUGGGACAGAGAACACAGAGAGG
RNAcentral lists this long non-coding RNA (641 nucleotides) under Chrysemys picta bellii (western painted turtle). Its description in RNAcentral is "lncRNA (ENSCPBG00000014420.1)". Lineage: Eukaryota; Metazoa; Chordata; Testudines; Emydidae. The record is from RNAcentral.